UACGGAGGGUGCAAGCGUUGUCCGGAUUUAUUGGGUUUAAAGGGUGCGUAGGUGGCUCAUUAAGUCAGUGUUUAAAGUCAACAGCUCAACUGUUGGAACGGCAUUGAUACUGAUGAGCUUGAGUAAAGUUGAGGUAGACAGAAUUGAUGGUGUAGCGGUGAAAUGCAUAGAUAUCAUCAAGAAUACCGAUUGCGAAGGCAGUUUACUAAGCUUUAACUGACACUGAGGCACGAAAGUGUGGGGAUCAAACAGG
Molecule: ribosomal RNA, 253 nt
Filed under: uncultured bacterium
Lineage: Bacteria
Description: partial 16S ribosomal RNA
Rfam family: Bacterial small subunit ribosomal RNA
Source: RNAcentral